GCCCUAUGACCAUGCCUCAGGACUACCUGGCCUGAUUACUCCUUGCUGUCCCAAGUCCACCUGGUCAUGCUGCUGCUCCAGUUUCAACUGUUCUGCCUGCGGCUAUGGUACCCUGACCUCUUCGCCGGACGUGCUACCUGUCCCAGACCUGCUGUUUUCAACUCUCUAGAGACAGCAGGAGCGGUAGAGAUACUCUGAAUGAUCGGCUAUGAAAAGCCAACUGACAUUUAUUCCUGAGGCAACCUCAUAAGAUCCCCAACACAAUAUCCCAGGAGUCUUGGGACAAAGCCUACCCGCCGGGCGAGGAGAACCCGCGCUACUCCAGCUACCAGGACUCCAGGAACGGCUACCUGCAUGGUGGGGCCAGUAGCUUCAAUGCCCGCAUCCUGCUGGAGACCCAGGAGCAGCUGAGGCAGGAGCAGAGAUGCAGGGAGCAGUCUGAGGCCAAGAUGAGGCUACCGCCACAACAGGAGGAGGUCUCCAGUAACCAUACCGGCUACGAUAACAUUCACCCGUUCCUAACCCCAACCCUUGUCCAGGCCCCAGCCCUGCCCCAAGCCGCUGUCGCAGCCCCAGUCCCACCCAAAAGCCCGUACCGCCAGGAUGUGCACCCCUCUCUGUCUCAGCUGGCAAGGCUCAACAGGCUGCAGGGCUCAGAGAAAGAACGGACAUUUUACUGAUGAGGUGAUGACCACUCAACUCCACUACCAUUGUCAACUCUCUCCUGACAUGAACUGAAGCCACGUCUCAUGUGCCCGCUCAUCCACCGGCACAUUGAAUGUUUCCUCUCCAAGCACUUCAAAUCCUGUCCUGCACUAAAGUCAAGCCUCUGAACACCUCAGAUCAUGCAUCAUACAUGCAUCAUGCAUUCAAUCACUGCUGUGAUCCCUUCCCAACACUGGUUCUGUGAGCUGCUGUCAGCACAAGCUGACAUAAAGAGCACAGGAUUAACCAGCAUGUCUAAACUGUGGGAUCACCAUGGAAGUGUGUGUGCGCCAAUCAAACAGUUCCCACUGGUUCUCAAUCUCCCAGCUGUGGCCUCAGGCGAGCAAGCGAGCGAGAGAGAGAGAGAAACCUAGGAGUCACAGACUCCAUGUUCUUAUUCAGAAUAACCCCCAGCACUGUUCAUUUCCCAUUACCCACCAGCCCCUCUUUGCCUAAUACCCUUUGCAGCACACCAAAAUACAGGUCAGAGGUCACUUAUGAUUUAAGUCUUUGUUUCCGUGCGCGUCAUCUCUGUUCAACGCAGUGAUGUUAUUGUCUUAGAGCAUAGUUCAAUUCCCCUUGGUGUGGUUGUGGUUCAUUUAACCAUCACACGUGGCGCACUAGUCGGUAAAACCCUCUCUCUCCUCUCACACACAUAAACAUCAAAACUGCUCACACACAACACAGAUUAUAUAUAUUUUUUUUAUCAGAGCAGUAACAGCUCCCAAGGCUAAUGCUAUCUGUGACUGCAAGGCAGCCAAGGUAACACUACUGUAUACCUCGUUCAGACAAUAUAGAGAAAAACAGGGUUGGGUAAGUGCAAUUUAUUCUAAGGGAAUACAACAGAGAAGAAUAGAGAGGGAGCAUGAAGUUAACUGUUCCUUUGAGGCCAGACUGACCCUACCUCGCCUCCAGCAGUUGUUCCUACAGCUGUAAAGUGACAGUAAUCAAUACUGAUUAUUAAACUGGG
This 1675-nucleotide long non-coding RNA is filed under the name Salmo salar (Atlantic salmon). Its description in RNAcentral is "lncRNA (ENSSSAG00000095176.1)". The record is from RNAcentral. Lineage: Eukaryota; Metazoa; Chordata; Actinopteri; Salmoniformes; Salmonidae.